AUUUAUAACAACAAUUUUCGUAAGCAUCCAAUCUUUUGUGAAGAAAAUACUUGUAUUUAUAAUAUGAAAAGUAAAUAUCAAUAAAACAAUCACGAGUCAGAUAAUGCUGAUUUUGAUCUGUAAAUCUCGGUCUAAAUGUGUGGAUUACAAGACAAAAAAUGAAAAGCUUUUUAUGUACUUCAAAAAUAUACUUAUAUACAUAUAUGUGAAACUAUUAAUAAGAUUUCAAAUCCUAACUAAACCAAGAAAUCAAAAAGAAUCACGUCAGUCCCACCCC
Molecule: long non-coding RNA, 277 nt
Filed under: Brassica napus (rape)
Lineage: Eukaryota; Viridiplantae; Streptophyta; Magnoliopsida; Brassicales; Brassicaceae
Description: long non-coding RNA (BNAP_LNC002260)
Source: RNAcentral